GGGUAUGCUGGAACUCCUAUGCUGCAUUUCUCUUUAUUCUUGGCAUUAUUGUAGUUUGGGGACAGUAGGAAAGUGGAUUGUUAUUUCUUUGCUAUAUUAUGCUCUUGGAAUGUGCCUAAGCUUGCUUCCUAUUGAUGUUAUUAUUUGUUGUUAUUUCUUCACUUAAAACUAAAGAAAUGUUUUAGGUAAUUGUAUUUAUAUUACGGCUGACUUCUCGAGUAAUUGUUAUUGUUUUUGUUUGUGAUUUGCAGGCAGGGGU
Molecule: unclassified non-coding RNA, 259 nt
Filed under: Hevea brasiliensis (rubber tree)
Lineage: Eukaryota; Viridiplantae; Streptophyta; Magnoliopsida; Malpighiales; Euphorbiaceae
Source: RNAcentral